AUACGUAGGUGGCGAGCGUUGUCCGGAAUUACUGGGCGUAAAGGGCGAGUAGGCGGCCUUCUAAGUCAGACGUGAAAUCCCCCGGCUUCACCUGGGAACUGCGUCUGAUACUGGGAGGCUUGAGUAUGGGAGAGGGAUGUAGAAUUCCAGGUGUAGCGGUGAAAUGCGUAGAUAUCUGGAGGAAUACCGGUGGCGAAGGCGGCAUCCUGGACCAUUACUGACGCUGAAUCGUGAAAGCUAGGGGAGCAAACGGGAUUAGAUACCCCGGUAGUCCUAGCCCUAAACGAUGAAUACUUGGUGUGGCGGGUAUCGAUCCCUGCCGUGCCGAAGCUAACGCAUUAAGUAUUCCGCCUGGGGAGUACGGUCGCAAGGCUGAAACUCAAAUGAAUUGGCGGGG
This 397-nucleotide ribosomal RNA is filed under the name uncultured bacterium. Its description in RNAcentral is "partial 16S ribosomal RNA". It matches the Rfam family "Bacterial small subunit ribosomal RNA", at positions 523 to 918 of the family's 1533-position model. The record is from RNAcentral.